CUAGCCUUUAGGCGUUGUUCAGAACUUUCCUCCAACCUUAUGCUUCUCCUGUCGGAACAGAUAUAUUUGUAAUGUCUUCAACCUUUACAACAAAACGCAAAACUGAAGGUCAUCUGGUACUUACUCCUACAAAGUCACCAUCUACUAAGAAAGGAACCUGUGUGUGUGUGUGUGAGUAGCACAUCUUCUCUAGCGAGGAUCUUGGUGAGGAGCCAGGGCAGUCAACACAGGUGGAGAUCAUCAGCCUCAUCAGGGGUUGGGAAUAAAGGAGCUGCAGAGUCUUCAAUCAGUGCUGGAGGAUUAACACUACCGGUUUCAUCAAGGAAAUUUCCAAGAAGGAGUUGUCCAUCUGUUUUCACCCUCCAAGUCUCUUACCUGCGAAGAAUCUGCCUGCCUGCUCCGCCCAUUCCCAGCCAUCAUUUAACUCCAUCUGGACCUUUGGCUCACAUUACCCUCACCAAACUCCACACGGGUUUCAGGACAACCUUCCCACACAGUUCACCAGAACCGUCAUACGAGUGCCGCCGUUUGUGGAUCACUUCCAUUAUCCUGAGACUCUACGUGGACCUGUCAAUUGUGUUCGAUCUUUUAAUAAAUCCCUUUUCCUAGACUUGGACUUGUUGAGUCUGCAUGUGGGUCAAAAGAUUAGAGCCAAUCAUGUCAGUCUAUGCCAGUUCAGCCCUUGAUGUCCCGAACAGCCUUUGCACCAAAAUCGAUCAAAUACUCUUUGAUUUCAUUUGGGGGGAAAAAGCCCCAUCUUAUUAGAAAGAAUGUUAUGAUCAAUAGACUAAGUUCUGGUGGUUUCAAUGUUCUGGACUUUAAUACCCUACAUUCUACAUUCAAAGUUAAGUGGAUCAAAAGAUAUCUGAAAAAUCCUAAUUCAAUUUGGCAUUGGAUUCCUACACAAGUUUUUAAAUCCUUUGGUGGCCUAGACAUUUUAUUAAGAUGUAACUACAAAAUAGAAAAGCUCCCUGUUAAUUUAUCUAGCUUCCAUAAACAACUGCUUUUAUCCUGGACAUUGGUUUAUAAAUAUAACUUUCCCCCUCAUAACUGUUUUAUUUGGAAUGACCAAAAUGUUUGCUUCAAGCAUAAAUCCUUAUUUUUUAAGAACUGGGUGGAUAAUGAUAUUCUAUUUGCAAAGCAAUUGUUUAAUGAGGAUGGUCAACUGUUUAAUUAUAGUGGAUUUCUUUGUAAAUAUAACUUCCCUGUAACCCCUAAAAAGUUUGCUGUUGUUUUCAAUGCUAUUCCAGCAGGUUUGAAAUUUCUCAUAUAAACUUCAGAUAGAGCCCAUGUCCAAUAGCCCAGAUUUCCACAGUUAUUUAUUGGUAAUUCAGACCUGUUCCUUAGUAUUAAAACCAGAAACAAACAUAUUAUAGAAAUAAUCCAAAGGAGUACUAUUACUAAACCUGCUUCAAUCUUUUUUUUGGAACAAUCUUUACUCAGAUAUUGAUUGGGAACAAACAUGGUUAUUGCCAAAAAAGUUUUUUUUUUUUUUUUUAAUUUCUCAAAUAAGGUACAGGAGGUGUCUCUUAAAAUUUUACACAGGUGUUACCCUUUAAAUUCAGUACUGACUAAAUAUAUUCCAAAUAUUGAUUCCUUUUGUCACAUCGAACAAGAAACAUUAACCCACCUUUUUGGGGAAUGCUCCUUCAGUAAAACAUUUUGGUGUGACAUCAAUAUUUUCAGUAAUCGGAAAUGUGAUAUACUUAUUCCUUUGAAUGUUAAAUAUGUUUUCUUUGGUAUUUCGAAUAAUAGAAUGUCUGGGAAAGAAUAUAUUAUAAACUUUCUUAUUCUGCUGGCCAAGUUCUACAUACAUGCCUGCAAAUUUGCUAAAAACAAAUCUAACCUCACUGUUUUUAGAUCUUAUUUGAGAUGUUUUUUAGACUCUUUUAAAUUGUGCACCAACUCUAAAGCUAUGAAACUUAUGGCCUUAAGUGAUGAAUUUGAUUUGUAAACUUUUAUUUCAUUUUGUUCUAUGGAUUUAUUACCCCAGCACCUCGAGCAUACUAAUACUGUCUGCAAUUGUAUAUUCUUUAUUUGUAAAUAAAGUUUAUUCAUAAAAAAAAGUUAAGCUGCCAUACUAUUGGCCGUACUGCUUAUUAAAAUAAAAGCAUCGAAUCAAAAACCAGAAGUCAAGUAUAUAUUAUAUGAAAUAAAACGAAAUAAAGGCAAUAAGCACAAAAGCGGUGAUACAACAAAUAAGGAGCUUAAUUUGGGGUUAUUUGCACACAAUAUAGCUGCAUGUUUGACUCAUGACUAACAAGUCUCAGGAGAGAUCUCUAUUUCUGCUGACAAUGAUCAGACCAGGUUAAAAUAUGACAUUAGCAGUUAGGAGAAUCCAAGCGAAAGUAGAACGAGGUGACAGAAUUAAGCACCCAAUCCAGAACUGGGCUCUAAAUCCAAACAGACAAUCAGAGAGCAAGAGUACGGUACAUCAUCUAAGAAUUUGCAACUCAUCCUUGAGGAGAUGCAGGUGUGAGAUGAGUAAUGAAUAACUUUUGGUGACAUGGUGAGCAAGAGAUAAGAUCACAGGUGACUGAGGCCACCUAGCUGUGAUAGCGAUGACAAAAGGGCAAGAAAAAAGAAAAAAAGAUAGAUCUCUGACCAAAAUUUGACUUUUAGUUUUGUUUAAUUAAAAAUAGCAAUUUAUAGCUCCAUUGAAACAAAUGUAGCUCAAAGUGCAUGCAAACAAAGUGAACAUGCAAUAAACAAAAUGUGAGAAUUAUUUGCAAAACAGAGUGAUACAAAUUUGUACAUUUGUAAUAGACAGAAUCUCUUAUCUGAUGUAACUGUGCUCAUUUAACAUAUACAGUCAUUAACCCUUUCGUAAUGGUCACUGCAGUGGACAGCUAUAAAAGCCAUUUUCUUGCGUUUCUUGCAGAUUUUUAUGUUGUAAAUGCACAGAGACCACUGAAGUGGACACCAUUGCAUCAUACAAUAAACUAUCAACUACUGGCUAUCCACAGCUAGUGCAAGAACAUUUUUGUGAAACAGCAUACGUUUCUUCAAAAUUGUCUAAAAUAAACUCGUCUCAGAAAGA
This is a long non-coding RNA of Xiphophorus hellerii (green swordtail), 3040 nucleotides long. RefSeq lists it as uncharacterized. The record is from RefSeq and is a predicted model, not a curated record. The transcript is spliced from 4 exons. Lineage: Eukaryota; Metazoa; Chordata; Actinopteri; Cyprinodontiformes; Poeciliidae.